CUUCUUUCAGCUUUAUCUGCAGAGUCAUCAAUUAAAUAUGCCAGAUGAAGAGUUUGUGAUGGAGAGCGCUUGCUGGAUCAAACCCAAGAAUGAAAGAUGGAGUAUCUGAAGCUGGACCAGAGAAAUAUUGAUUAAAUUUACCUGGGAGAAGCAAAUCAGAAAAUUGUGGUUGACUAGGGCAGAGAGAAGAACCAAAGAAAAGGAGGAGCAAAAAAGGAAGAAAGACCCCAGUCAUGCAAAAUCAAAGAACCUGAAACCAGAAGACUUUUACCAGGCUAGUAUGGUUCUUCCUGCAUUGGGUGUAUACACUGACGCCCUAAGGCCUCAUUAUGGGUUAUGCUUGAGCUGAAUGAGGAGUUUGUUCUCUGAUAGGAAAAAGACCUAGAAAGUAUCGAAGAAGUCUCUUAAAGACAGUUCCGAGUUCAUACCAUACUCCAUUCAGGUGCCUGAAAUGUAGAAAAAAAAAAAAA
Long non-coding RNA from Herpailurus yagouaroundi (jaguarundi), 470 nucleotides. RefSeq lists it as uncharacterized. The record is from RefSeq and is a predicted model, not a curated record. Lineage: Eukaryota; Metazoa; Chordata; Mammalia; Carnivora; Felidae. The transcript has 3 exons.